GACGAACGCUGGCGGCGUGCCUAACACAUGCAAGUAGAACGCAGUUGCGAACGGGUGAGUAACGCGUAUGUAACUGCCUCAUAGCGGGGGAUAACUAUUGGAAACGCUAGCUAAUACCCCAUACUGUGAGAUGGACCUGCGUUGUAUUAGCUAGUUUGUGGGGUAAAGUCUCACCAAGGCGACGAUACAUAGCCGACCUGAGAGGGUGAACGGCCACCCUGGGACUGGGGAACGGCCCAGACUCCUACUGGGGGCAGCAGUAGGGAAUCUUCGGCAAUGGACGGAAAUCUGACCGAGCAACGCCGGGUGAGUGAAGAAGGUUUUCGGGUUGUAAAGCUCUGUUGUGAGAGAAGCGGUAACUAAACAGAAAGGAACGGCUAACUCCGUGCCAGCAGCCGCGGUAAUAC
Molecule: ribosomal RNA, 407 nt
Filed under: uncultured bacterium
Lineage: Bacteria
Description: partial 16S ribosomal RNA
Rfam family: Bacterial small subunit ribosomal RNA
Source: RNAcentral